Molecule: long non-coding RNA, 572 nt
Organism: Mercurialis annua (annual mercury)
Lineage: Eukaryota; Viridiplantae; Streptophyta; Magnoliopsida; Malpighiales; Euphorbiaceae
Exons: 4
Source: RefSeq, a predicted model, not a curated record
GAUUUAAUUUCAGUUUUUUGCAUGUUUAGAUUAAUUUUUUAGUGUUUUAUUUGAUUUGGGUUUUAAUUACUGAAUAUAUUUUGUUGUUUUCAUUGCUUCUUUCUAAUUUUAAGGGCUUUCAAGUCAGGCGAUGGAGGCUGCUGCCGUGUCCGAUAACUCACCGGCGGAACUGAUCAUUACUGUUCAGAGAGCGGCCGUCGGUAUCGGAGGAACAUCGUCUUCUUUUAAUUUAGUUUGACUCCGUCGAUCAAUUGUGAAGUUAAGGGCUUUCAAGUUAGCCGAUGGAGGCCAUCGCCGUGUCCAAGGACUCACGUCACUCACCGGCGGCGAAACUCAAUACUAUCGGCUGCCGGUAUCGGAGGAACAUCGUCUUCUUUUGAUUUAGUUUGACUGCGUCCAUCAAUUGUGAAGGUCAGUGUUCUUAUUAUAUAUUAUAUGCUCUUCCAACCUUGUUGAUGAAUUUGCAGUUUGUUUAAUUUUCAUUUCUUUGCCAUAUUAUUUUGUUCCUUUUUUGAGUUUUUAUGUUUGUUGUUCAAUGGAUGACUGAAUUUAUAUAUACUCCGUUUGUAUAA